UCGAAGAGCUUCUUGUUUGUCGUAAAUCCUCCCAUUCGUGUGCUGCUCUAGAUCUCCAUCUUCUUCCGAUCUCAUCUUCUCUCUUCAUCUUGGAGUUGAUUGGAUCUCGAUUUGUGAAAACCUUGAAGUUUGCACUUGAUCGAGGGUUGGAAUUUGUUAAGAGCUCAAAUUCUUGCUCCUUCCUGCCCCUUAAUUUACACAGCCAUAUCCCUCCAGCCGCUCAUACAAAAAGCACAAAUAGAAAGGAGCAAGACUUCUUUCCACCGAAGCCGCCUCAACAUUAAUUGAGAGGAAAACUUCAAAAAUAGAGAAUAAAGGAUAUACAGGUCAAUCAUUUCACUUUUUAUAGGUUUG
Dioscorea cayenensis subsp. rotundata (Guinea yam) is the source of this 354-nucleotide long non-coding RNA. RefSeq lists it as uncharacterized. The transcript is spliced from 3 exons. The record is from RefSeq and is a predicted model, not a curated record. Lineage: Eukaryota; Viridiplantae; Streptophyta; Magnoliopsida; Dioscoreales; Dioscoreaceae.